UACGUAGGGUGCGAGCGUUGUCCGGAAUUACUGGGUGUAAAGGGUGCGUAGGCGGGCAUGUGCGUCGGAGGUUAAAUACAACGGCUUAACCGUUGAACUGCCUUCGAAACGGCAUGUCUUGAAUGUGGGAGAGGAUGAUGGAAUUCCUGGUGUAGCGGUGAAAUGCGUAGAUAUCGGGAGGAACACCAGUAGCGAAGGCGGCCAUCUGGCUGGUAACUGACGCUGAGGUGCGAGAGCGUGGGGAGCAAACAGG
This 253-nucleotide ribosomal RNA is filed under the name uncultured microorganism. RNAcentral's name for it is "partial 16S ribosomal RNA". It matches the Rfam family "Bacterial small subunit ribosomal RNA", at positions 524 to 776 of the family's 1533-position model. The record is from RNAcentral.